GAUGAACGCUGGCGGCGUGCUUAACACAUGCAAGUCGAACGGAAAGGCCCAAGCUUGCUUGGGUACUCGAGUGGCGAACGGGUGAGUAACACGUGGGUGAUCUGCCCUGCACUUCGGGAUAAGCCUGGGAAACUGGGUCUAAUACCGGAUAGGACCACUUCUUGGAUGUUGUGGUGGAAAGUUUUUUCGGUGUGGGAUGAGCUCGCGGCCUAUCAGCUUGUUGGUGGGGUAAUGGCCUACCAAGGCGUCGACGGGUAGCCGGCCUGAGAGGGUGUACGGCCACAUUGGGACUGAGAGACGGCCCAGACGCCGACGGGAGGCAGCAGUGGGGAAUAUUGCACAAUGGGCGCAAGCCGGAUGCAGCGACGCCGCGGGGGGGAUGACGGCCUUCGGGUUGUAAACUCCUUUCGCUAGGGACGAAGCGUUUUGUGACGGUACCUGGAGAAGAAGCACCGGCUAACUACGUG
This 467-nucleotide ribosomal RNA is filed under the name uncultured bacterium. RNAcentral describes it as "partial 16S ribosomal RNA". It matches the Rfam family "Bacterial small subunit ribosomal RNA", at positions 28 to 507 of the family's 1533-position model. The record is from RNAcentral.